Pediculus humanus corporis (human body louse) is the source of this 85-nucleotide microRNA precursor. The record is from RefSeq and is a predicted model, not a curated record. Lineage: Eukaryota; Metazoa; Arthropoda; Insecta; Psocodea; Pediculidae.
GGCGCUGAUUUUUUUCUUUGGUUAUCUAGCUGUAUGGAUAUUUUGAACUUCAUAAAGCUACAUUACCGAAGGUAAUAACAGCGCA